RNAcentral lists this unclassified non-coding RNA (406 nucleotides) under soil metagenome. RNAcentral's name for it is "partial contains 5.8S ribosomal RNA, internal transcribed spacer 2, and large subunit ribosomal RNA". The stretch from base 1 to 121 matches the Rfam family "5.8S ribosomal RNA", at positions 35 to 154 of the family's 154-position model. The record is from RNAcentral.
GAUGAAGAACGCAGUGAAAUGCGAUAAGUAAUGUGAAUUGCAGAAUUCAGUGAAUCAUCGAAUCUUUGAACGCACCUUGCGCCCUUUGGCCAUUCCGAAGGGCAUGCCUGUUUGAGUAUCAUGAACACCUCAACUCUUCAUGGUUUUCCGUGAUGAGCUUGGACUUUGGGGGUCUUGCUGGCCUAUGGUCAGCUCCUCUAAAAUAAAUCAGCUUGCCAGUGUUUGGUGGGUAUCACAGGUGUGAUAACUAUCUACGCUUGUGGUUUUCCACCAGGUAACCUUCAGCAGUGGAGGUUCGCUGGAGCUCACAAAUGUGUCUCUCCUCAGUGAGGACAGCUCUUUGAAUGUUUGAUCUCAAAUCAGGUAGGACUACCCGCUGAACUUAAGCAUAUCAAUAAGCGGAGGA